CCUAGCUCAACAAUCUGAGAUAUUCCAUGGCCUUGAAAAAUAGAAACAAAAAAUCACUUGUUUACUAUGUGCCAGGCACUGUUUUAAUCAUUUUACAUGUAUUAAUUUAUAAUUUAUGGCUACCCUAUAAUAUAGAUAUGUAGUUUUUUUAUUAAAUUUUAUAGACUGGAGAGCUGAUGCACUGAGUGAAGCAUAGUAAAUGAGAGUCAAGGGUGAGAUCCCAGCAGUUUGGCUCCAGAGCCUACAUUCUUUAUAUUCUGUACAUCUUCUAUAUUUCUAUAAUCAUGGUAUGGAAGGGAUGAUGGAUUAAAAGUUGGUAAGUAAAUCUGUAUUUAUUUCUGAUCUUAGCAUUAAAUUAUUGUGUGAUAUGGGGCAAAUCACGUCACCCCCUCUGACCACAAUUUCUAUAUUCUCAACCUGAAAAGAUCUUGAGCCAUUUCUUCUGAUUCUCAGGGAUUAAAAUCUGUGGAACAUGCUUACUGCUCUCUUCAUUAAGCUAUAGUCUGGGAUUUGGAAGUUUCCCUAGCUGAAGACACUUUGCCACUAACACAUCAUUCUGGAAAAAUAUUUUGAUGUCAGAAAAGACUGUCAUUUUGGGCCAACUUAGAAAGGAACGCGGUAUUGGGAACGCUCAAGACUUUGUGAAAAGCAGUUAGCAGUUCAGUUUUCUUCUGGUGGAGAAUGCAUACACAAUGAAAAAGCAAGGCCAGCAUAAUUGUGUCUUAUUUGAUUCUGUCAUUCAAAAUCAGAGAGUUUGAUUUAGGACAUGCUGUUCUUGGGAGUUUGUACAAUUGCCCCUAUUCUGAGCACAAACCCUGCAUGAUACCUCUUAAAAAAAAACUAAUAUUUGUGCUACAUUUGAGCUUUCUCAGGCUUCUGCUUAAAUAUUAGGAGUAAUUUAAACAUCUGAUUUAAAAUAU
RNAcentral lists this long non-coding RNA (920 nucleotides) under Homo sapiens (human). RNAcentral describes it as "long non-coding RNA NONHSAT214423". The record is from RNAcentral. Lineage: Eukaryota; Metazoa; Chordata; Mammalia; Primates; Hominidae.